UAGGUUUGUCCUAAGUCGAACUUCCUUAAGUUUGACCAAGUAUAUAGGAAAAAUUACUAAUACCCACAUCAUCAACUAUAUGUAGUCUGACAAUAUAUUUUAUGAUGAAUGUAAUGGAACUAAUUUGGUGUUGUAGAUAUUGGUAUAUUUUUCUACAGACUUGGUUAAACCUAGAGAAGUUUGAAUUAGGAUAAAUCAAG
Molecule: non-coding RNA, 200 nt
Organism: Triticum aestivum (bread wheat)
Lineage: Eukaryota; Viridiplantae; Streptophyta; Magnoliopsida; Poales; Poaceae
Source: Rfam